RNAcentral lists this long non-coding RNA (746 nucleotides) under Mytilus galloprovincialis (Mediterranean mussel). Lineage: Eukaryota; Metazoa; Mollusca; Bivalvia; Mytilida; Mytilidae. The record is from RNAcentral.
AUUUUAAAACUGUUACUUUUUGAAGACAAACUUUUGUUGCCAUCAUUGAAAUGUUCUUAAAAGUGUCAAGAUGUUAAAAAAGUGGCGAAUAAAAGAAGAAAGCUGAUUGACAAUAAACAUAGAAAAAAAUUUUAUCUGAAAAAUGAUAGAAAUAUUAUCUCAUUGGUCAAGUUUAUGUUUUUAUGCCCCACCUACGAUAGUAGAGGGGCAUUAUGUUUUCUUGUCUGUGCCUCCGUUCAUCCGUUCGUCCGUCCGUCUGUGCGUCCGUUCGCUUCAGGUUAAGGUUUUUGGUCAAGGUAGUUUUUUGAAGAAGUUGAAGUCUAAUCAACUUGAAACUUAGUACACAUGUUCCCUAUGAUAUGAUCUUUCUAAUUUUAAUUCCAAAUUAAAGUUUUGACCCUAAUUUCACGGUCCACUGAACAUAGAAAAUGAUAGUGCGAGUGGGGCAUCCGUGUACUUGGGACACAUUCUUGUUUUAUUUUCAUUUAAGAUAGAACAUUUCUCAUUUUAUCUUCAUUUAAGAUAGAACAUUUCUCAAUAAGCUGGGUAUAGUAGUUUGUUAUAGAAACUGCUUGUAUUUUUUAAUGUUCAAGAAAUCAUCAGUUUUUCAUGGCAUAAGUACAAUUAUGAAAAGCAACUUUAAAAAGUCAGGAGUGUUGCUGAAAAACUAUAUAAAGAAAGAGCAAAUUGGAAUAUUGUGAUAUUUAUACAUAAUUGAGUUAAACAACAAAAUAAAAGAAAAACAC